RNAcentral lists this long non-coding RNA (1325 nucleotides) under Gossypium raimondii (Peruvian cotton). RNAcentral describes it as "long non-coding RNA (GRAI_LNC001562)". The record is from RNAcentral. Lineage: Eukaryota; Viridiplantae; Streptophyta; Magnoliopsida; Malvales; Malvaceae.
CGCAUACGUUAAAAGCUAAAUACUAUAUUGAAACUGACUUUCUCAAUGUAGGAUUAGGGAGUAUACCUUCAUAUACUUGACGAAAUAUUUGGGCUUCAAAAGGAAUUCUACAGGAUGGAAUGUGGUGGUGAGUGGGAACAAGUACUAACAUCUCAAUUACGAAGGCUACUUGGGUUCUAGGCUUUUGUUAAUUACAAAGUAUGAAUGAGUGAUCUUAUCCCAGAUUCAAUGAUGGUGGCAGAUUUAAUUGAAAGGGAUUCAAGGCAGUGGAAUGAAGGGCUAAUUCAUAAUACCUUUUCUAAGAUUGAUGCUGAAAGAAUUUUAAGAAUUCCUUUGGUGAGGAUUGCACAUGAGGAUUUUCAAGUGUGGAAAGGAGAGGUCUCUGGUGACUAUUCUGUCCGCAGUGCUUAUAAAUUGCUUCUACAACAAUCAAUGGACCCUAACCUUCUACUUGAACAGACAACAUACAGACAGUUUUACAAAAAAUUAUGGGGCCUACAACUACCCACCAAAUUGAAAAUUACAUUCUGGAGAUGCUCGAAGAAUUAUAUCCCUACUCUAUGUAAUUUAUAUUACAAGCGGUUAUCAAACGAAACUGUUUGUUCUAAAUGUGCAGAUUCAACAGAGACUUUAAAGCAUGCUUUUAGGGACUGCCCUGCGAUCAAGGAGAUUUGGCGACAAUUACAAUGUGCAUGGCUUAGCUAAUUUGAAAAUCUGUGUUUUCUGGAUUGGGUUACCUGGUUCUUUGAAAAUUUCAGGGCUAGUGAUUCAGGGUGCAAAUGGAAGAGUCCUGGGUUCUAGAACUGUUCUCAAUGAUAACAUAAUUCGGUUUUUACAGCAGAGGCCCUGACUUGUAUUUAAUGUCUUCAAAUGGGACUGGAUUUGGGUUUCACUACCGUGGAGAUAGAAGGUGAUGCCUUGUCUGUCAUAAAAAAAGCACAGCAGAAGGAUAAUGACAAAUAAAAAAUCCAUGCCUACAUAAAAGACUGUCAAGGACUUAGCAGGAGUUUUCAAAUAUGCAAGUUCAAAUACGGGGAAUGUUAAAAAAUGGAGUGGCUCAUCUACUUGCGACGGAGGGUUUGAGACAAAAGAAACAUUGGAAUAUGAGCGGAGGAGUACCUAUUUUUGUAGAAGAGGAGGUCGAGAGAGAACGAUUAUGCAGCUUGCCGAUCUGAUGGGUGAGUAAUCUGUCAUGAAAAUUGGAGAGAUGGGGGAUCUAAAGAGAUGAAGGAAGCAGAUGAACAGUUCUUGAAACUUUGAAAAGAGAAACAAUUAAAGUUGGAAGCUUUUUCUGAUUGUGUUUUCAGGAGUCGUGCUAAUAUUAA